This 504-nucleotide ribosomal RNA is filed under the name uncultured bacterium. RNAcentral describes it as "partial 16S ribosomal RNA". It matches the Rfam family "Bacterial small subunit ribosomal RNA", at positions 30 to 523 of the family's 1533-position model. The record is from RNAcentral.
AUUGAACGCUGGCGGCAGGCCUAACACAUGCAAGUCGAGCGGUAGCACAGGGAGCUUGCUCCUGGGUGACGAGCGGCGGACGGGUGAGUAAUGUCUGGGAAACUGCCUGAUGGAGGGGGAUAACUACUGGAAACGGUAGCUAAUACCGCAUAACGUCGCAAGACCAAAGAGGGGGACCUUCGGGCCUCUUGCCAUCAGAUGUGCCCAGAUGGGAUUAGCUAGUAGGUGGGGUAACGGCUCACCUAGGCGACGAUCCCUAGCUGGUCUGAGAGGAUGACCAGCCACACUGGAACUGAGACACGGUCCAGACUCCUACGGGAGGCAGCAGUGGGGAAUAUUGCACAAUGGGCGCAAGCCUGAUGCAGCCAUGCCGCGUGUAUGAAGAAGGCCUUCGGGUUGUAAAGUACUUUCAGCGGGGAGGAAGGUGUUGAGGUUAAUAACCUCAGCAAUUGACGUUACCCGCAGAAGAAGCACCGGCUAACUCCGUGCCAGCCGCCGCCGUAA